This is a long non-coding RNA of Onychomys torridus (southern grasshopper mouse), 1842 nucleotides long. RefSeq lists it as uncharacterized. Lineage: Eukaryota; Metazoa; Chordata; Mammalia; Rodentia; Cricetidae. The record is from RefSeq and is a predicted model, not a curated record. The transcript has 3 exons.
GAGAGCAAAAGAAGAGAGGCUUUGAAGGCUCCACUCAGUGGUAACCAGCUAGGAACAAUGGAGGCAGCUCAGAAGGUGCUUCCUUCCACCCAGCUGCAGUCAAAGCCACCGGUGAGGCCAGAGGGCUGCCAGGAACUGUGUUAUGGCUGAGGAGAACAAACAGGCUCGGUCAAGGAAGCCAAGCCCCCUUCAAAGAACGACCCCCUCCUACCCCCCAUGACUUCAGCGGUGUUUGCUGACAAGCCUAUGGAUCACAUAGACCACAUCUUCCGGUGUCCUCGCAUCCAAGACAAAUUCAGCCCUCCAGCCGCUAUGGUUGUUGGAAGAUGGAUCAGAGAUGCCGCCAAGAUAAGAAAGUUCCAGUUCAGACAUCGCUGAGCUUUCCCAAGUCACCCUGUUCAAGGCAGAAGCAUCCCUGGAACACCACGUGCCUGGCCCGAGGUCAUUACUGUUUGGUCCUUGCUGCUCUGGCAGCAUUACACAUUGUCCCACUCUAAGGCUAGCCUCAAAUGCGUGCAACUCUAAAUCAGAGAUCCUCUAGGGACAGCCGAGGCAAGGAACCGAAAUUGUCUUACCCACAAGAUGUAAAGAGACUUUUGAUAAAAGUGAAUCUUAAUAUAGUAUGUUGGAAAGGGACCAUCUGUUCCCAAUCUUCAGAAGAGAGGGGAUGGGAAUUUAUGUUACAAUGUGAAGCAUGAGAUAAAGAGAGGAAAUUCCUAAUUUGUCUGGUUAUAGACCAAUAUACCAUCAAAGCAGACUGCUGUGGCUGUCUCUGGGCAUGUAAAGAGACACUGCCAUUCUUCUCUAGUAAUUCACCCCAAACCAUGUUUUAGUGAACAGAUCCCUGCAAUUUGGGGAGAUCUUCAACUAAGGCACCAGUAUCUCUCUGCUCUCUCCACGCUGCCUCUGUGGGCUGGGCUUAUUUUUCCUACUCCUUGAAAGACAGCAGGGCCCUUACCCCACCAUGUUCCCCAGGUGGUUGGAGCAUCAAGCUCAGCCCAGUGCAGGUGUUGAGAAAGGCAGGGUCUACAACCACAAUGCUUGUGUCUGUCCUCAGUCUGUGCUGCCACACUGGAGACAUGAAACAUGUAGAACAUGAGCAUCUGCCUGACCAGCAGGGCACAGUGCAGUGGUUGGCAGAUGGUUAGCUUUUAAGAAACAUGUCCUGUGGUUGAUCAAAAUGUUUCAUAUCUCCCCCAGGGCACACAUUGAUGCAGGUGUUACAAUACCUUGUCAUAAGAAAAAACCCCUGUUAACUGACAUGGAGGAAGUGGGUGGCAGUGACACUAGACCAGGUCUCCCAGGGCCUCCCACAUGUCCUCCCUUUGGCUCUUCUUCCAGUUAAAAUCGAAGGCCUUGAGAACCCGGGACAGAUGAUGGUACUGUAAGAGGGAAAGAACUCAGGGUUGAUCUGUUACUCAGAGAGUAGCCUCACUGACAAGCAACACACACCAGGAUGUCCACACAGGAGGCAAGUAAGCUACACUCUGAGCCAUUAGCGCUCAGUUCUGCAGGUCUUCAGAAACAUUUAAAAAUGGAAACAUUAGGGACAAUGCCUGGGUGUUGUCCUCUUUACAGGAGCAUAAACUGACCUUUUUUUUUCCUAUGCCCCAUGGUGGACACUGAAACCACUGCCAUUUUCCAUAUGAUGUCAGUCCUGGUGAGGUUAGCAUGAGAUUGCCCUUGCAGUUCAUAAAGGCUCGCCUAUGAAUGAAUGCUUGUUGAAUAAAUUAGUGACCUUCACACUAUGACCCUUAUUGACAUUGAAAGUUGUAAUUAAUUAUCUUCUGAAUAAUCUACCUUGCUUACUAUAUAUUAAAUAUGCAUUAAAAUUGAGGCAGA